UACAGAGGUCUCAAGCGGUGUUCGGAUUCAUUGGGCGUAAAGGGUGCGUAGGUGGUUGGGUAAGUCAAAUGUGAAAUCCCGGAGCUCAACUCCGGAACUGCAUUCGAUACUGCCCGGCUAGAGGAUUGGAGAGGAGACUGGAAUUCACGGUGUAGCAGUGAAAUGCGUAGAUAUCGUGAGGAACACCCGUGGCGAAGGCGGGUCUCUGGACAAUUCCUGACACUGAGGCACGAAGGCCAGGGGAGCAAACGGG
This 253-nucleotide ribosomal RNA is filed under the name uncultured bacterium. Its description in RNAcentral is "partial 16S ribosomal RNA". It matches the Rfam family "Bacterial small subunit ribosomal RNA", at positions 524 to 776 of the family's 1533-position model. The record is from RNAcentral.